UACGGAGGGUCCAAGCGUUAUCCGGAUUUAUUGGGUUUAAAGGGUUCGUAGGCGGAAUAAUAAGUCAGUGGUGAAAGCCCGCAGCUCAACUGCGGAACUGCCAUUGAUACUGUUAUUCUUGAGUACACUUGAAGUAGGCGGAAUGUGUCAUGUAGCGGUGAAAUGCUUAGAUAUGACACAGAACACCGAUUGCGAAGGCA
RNAcentral lists this ribosomal RNA (200 nucleotides) under uncultured bacterium. RNAcentral describes it as "partial 16S ribosomal RNA". It matches the Rfam family "Bacterial small subunit ribosomal RNA", at positions 524 to 723 of the family's 1533-position model. The record is from RNAcentral.